CCGGUGGGUACUUAUCACUUUCGCUUAGCCACUCAGGUCUCAAUUAACCCGAACAGCUAGUAACCAUCGUUUACGGCGUAGACUACCAGGGUAUCUAAUCCUGUUCGCUACCUACGCUUUCGUCCAUCAGCGUCAGUGUAUUGUUAGUGAUCUGCCUUCGCAAUCGGUAUUCUGAGUAAUAUCUAUGCAUUUCACCGCUACACUACUCAUUCUAACCACUUCACAAUAACUCAAGAACAACAGUAUCAAUGGCAAUUCUACAGUUAAGCUGCAGACUUUCACCACUGACUUAUCAUCCCGCCUACGGACCCUUUAAACCCAAUGAUUCCGGAUAACGCUUGGAUCCUCCGUAUUACCGCGGCUGCUGGCACGGAGUUAGCCGAUCCUUAUUCUUACAGUACCGUCAACACCCGACACGUCGGGCUUUUUCUUCCUGUAUAAAAGCAGUUUACAACCCAUAGGGCAGUCUUCCUGCACGCGGCAUGGCUGGAUCAGGAUUGCUCCCAUUGUCCAAUAUUCCUCACUGCUGCCUCCCGUAGG
RNAcentral lists this ribosomal RNA (540 nucleotides) under uncultured Flavobacterium sp. Its description in RNAcentral is "partial 16S ribosomal RNA". RNAcentral also lists the same sequence under 1 other name. The record is from RNAcentral. Lineage: Bacteria; Pseudomonadati; Bacteroidota; Flavobacteriia; Flavobacteriales; Flavobacteriaceae.